This 75-nucleotide transfer RNA is filed under the name Myxococcales bacterium. Its description in RNAcentral is "tRNA-Leu". It matches the Rfam family "tRNA". From Rfam's summary of the family: Transfer RNA (tRNA) molecules are approximately 80 nucleotides in length. Their secondary structure includes four short double-helical elements and three loops (D, anti-codon, and T loops). Further hydrogen bonds mediate the characteristic L-shaped molecular structure. tRNAs have two regions of fundamental functional importance: the anti-codon, which is responsible for specific mRNA codon recognition, and the 3' end, to which the tRNAs corresponding amino acid is attached (by aminoacyl-tRNA synthetases). tRNAs cope with the degeneracy of the genetic code in two manners: having more than one tRNA (with a specific anti-codon) for a particular amino acid; and 'wobble' base-pairing, i.e. permitting non-standard base-pairing at the 3rd anti-codon position. The record is from RNAcentral. Lineage: Bacteria; Pseudomonadati; Myxococcota; Myxococcia; Myxococcales.
GCCUGGGUAGCCCAACUUGGUAGAGGCGGCCGACUCAGACUCGGUCCGUUGGGGGUUCGAGUCCCUCCCCAGGCA